This 468-nucleotide ribosomal RNA is filed under the name uncultured bacterium. Its description in RNAcentral is "partial 16S ribosomal RNA". It matches the Rfam family "Bacterial small subunit ribosomal RNA", at positions 28 to 507 of the family's 1533-position model. The record is from RNAcentral.
GACGAACGCUGGCGGCGUGCUUAACACAUGCAAGUCGAACGGAAAGGCCCUGCUUUUGUGGGGUGCUCGAGUGGCGAACGGGUGAGUAACACGUGAGUAACCUGCCCUUGACUUUGGGAUAACUUCAGGAAACUGGGGCUAAUACCGGAUAGGAGCUCCUGCUGCAUGGUGGGGGUUGGAAAGUUUCGGCGGUUGGGGAUGGACUCGCGGCUUAUCAGCUUGUUGGGGGGGUAGUGGCUUACCAAGGCUUUGACGGGUAGCCGGCCUGAGAGGGUGACCGGCCACAUUGGGACUGAGAUACGGCCCAGACUCCUACGGGAGGCAGCAGUGGGGAAUAUUGCACAAUGGGCGGAAGCCCGAUGCAGCAACGCCGCGUGCGGGAUGACGGCCUUCGGGUUGUAAACCGCUUUCGCCUGUGACGAAGCGUGAGUGACGGUAAUGGGUAAAGAAGCACCGGCUAACUACGUG